This is a long non-coding RNA of Oreochromis aureus, 1753 nucleotides long. RefSeq lists it as uncharacterized. Lineage: Eukaryota; Metazoa; Chordata; Actinopteri; Cichliformes; Cichlidae. The transcript has 3 exons. The record is from RefSeq and is a predicted model, not a curated record.
UACUCUGUUGCUUCAGUGCACGCUGCGAUUCGUGCGAUGCAAAAACGGCCAAGGGGAGGAAGCGAGGAAGAGGAGACAGCGCGAGGGGAAAGAGACAGACACUGACUUCUCAAGCUCUCACUGUUCGGCUCACCACUGUCAACCUCAGUGUUUGUCUUCCAGUUCAGCCUGUGGUCGAUGUGGAUGGUCAGCUUCUUCUACCACAUUAACAUCUGAGGACAGACACAGUAUUCACCGACAGUCGCACUGUGAUGGAUGCAUCGGAGAGCAGCAUAUUUGGCGUACGGGCUGGAGCAGCCAGGGAUCAAACCACCAACCUCCAGAUUAGCAGACGACCUGCUCGCCAUCGGCCACCACCAACUUAUGUCUCAGUCACACUAGAUUAAAAAUAGAAUGACAACCUCAUUGCUACAAUCUGUGGUUGCCAAGUGUUUACAGUGAAUCUUUUUCCUCAUUCAUCAAUUGAUUCCAAGUAAGUGGAGUGACCAACUAGCUACCUAGAGGUGGAGUAUGCAACCACUUAUGAUCGCAGGCAGUUGCAAUGGUCACCUGGCGGGAGACAACAUGUCUCCAAACAAUCAUGGUAUCUGGCAACGGCAGUCAUUCUCAGACAGACUGUCCAAGGUUUACAAAUAAUUGCCACCAAACUUAUAACCUGGACAAAUUGCUGGCACAUUGAAAUCAGUCUGAGGCACUCUGCACUGAGCCUGCAAUGCAACCGGGGAUUUGACUCAACUGGUUACCAAGUAGUGGUAUUCCAGAGAAUUUCAAGCAAGCAAGGUUGCAAUUAAAUUGCUGUCCUGCAGCAACUAUGUUACUAUUUGUGGAGGGAAUUCUAAAUUUCUUUUUCAGCUUUGUGGAGUUUCUGGCUAGACUCUGGAUGUAAGUAGCUAAUGUGAAUGUUUCUUUAAUUAUAUAAAUUAACUUGUUUUUCUGCAGAUGGCAACAGAAUUGUGACUUUUGCCAAUUUAUCACAAACAGCUUGCGCAUAAUUGUCAACUUGAUCCUGUUCUAUAGUAGACCAGCUCCAUGUCAUUCUCAUUUUAUUUCCUUCUUGAUACACCAAAGUCACUUUGAAGACAGACUGACUGUGAGUGGCAACAGAUCUGGUCCCUGUCUUUGAAGCAACCAUUUCAAAGGCAACGAGAUUGCAAGCUCAUUGCUCGAAGAUGCAAUAAUUUUGGUCGUGCCGCAGCCUCCAAACACUGUUUUCCCUUGAGGAACUGUAGAAAAACCUCUUUUACUAGCACAGGAUUAUUAUAUUUGUACUUUUAGGCUAUUCAGUUUACUGCAAUACAAUACCAGGACUAGUAGACUGCCUGCAUUUGAAAAACUGGAGCCACGUAACAGCCCACAGUUUUUGCUUGCGAAUCAAUGAAUUGAUUAAUCACUGACUAAUUACUGAAUCUCUCAUUUCAAGUACUGUAUGAUAUGACGCCGUCUGAAACGUAGUGAAAAAGUACAAAUUUGGUGAACAAACUGAAACGUGUAAGGAAACUAGAAAUAUCCUGUAAUUCUGUCUAAGUGCAUUAUUUGAGAGACUGUAUUUAUUCUCCACCCCUGGGUUCUUUCAGAAAUACUUGGACUCAUUUAUUGCAUUUGCAGUAUUAAAAACAGACUUUUUUUAUUAUUAUUAUUUGUUUGUUUGUGAAAAGCUGACAUUUUGAAGCUGCAGUCCAAGGCUUUCACAUGGCAACGGCCAAAACACCACAACAAUAGCACGCGAAGGUUAAAAUAGAUUUUGGCAAACAAC